UUUUUUCUUUUGGUCCUUUUUUCCCCUUUGACGGAAAUAGCUGUCUAAUCACACUUGACAGUAAUAAGGAUUCGCAAAUUAAGAUAUACCAUAAUGAUGCUUGAACUCUCAACUCAAAAGGAAACUAGAAACAACGCCAGUUAAGGUAAGAUAAUUGGUUCAUCACUUGAAGCAUUUGGCAUCCAACAAAGCCUCCCCUUCAAAAGGCUCCUGAUCUUCAAUCAUCUGGUUUACGCGUUCCUUUUGUGCCUCAUCUGAUAUAUCAACCUUCCUCCAUUCAUAAAGUUCCAUGUCGUAGCACUCGUCCAAGACGAAUUUGGGUAUCUCUUGUCCACGGAAAAGCCAUAAACCCUUCACCUUAAAUGGAGGUUCUGAUCCAAUCACUAACAUCUUCCCAAAAGCAUACUUACG
RNAcentral lists this unclassified non-coding RNA (411 nucleotides) under Hevea brasiliensis (rubber tree). The record is from RNAcentral. Lineage: Eukaryota; Viridiplantae; Streptophyta; Magnoliopsida; Malpighiales; Euphorbiaceae.